The submitters of this non-coding RNA (58 nucleotides) gave its source as unclassified sequences. The record is from Rfam.
AUAAUGAUACUUUUCCACGGAACCGGCGGAGUACCCGGCGGGGGUGAGAUUCCCAUGG